UACCAAAAGAAAGUAAUUAUUUGGAACCACUUAUAAGGAUAAAAUCAAUAACUACAGGGCAUGAGCUUAAAACUCACUGCCCAUAACCUGUAUGCUAUUUUCUUGGCAAGUUUCCAAAUGUCAUCUUGAAUGGAUGUUUGAAUGUUUUCCUGGGGAUCCACUAUAUUUUAUUACUUAACUCAUGCUCAGAGAAUGUCAGCCAGGAACCUAGAUUUAGAUCUUGAUUUUGCCACUUUAACUGUCUGAAUGAUCUUAGGAAGGUCAAAUUGAAAUCAUCCAAUCAGAGAAUAAACAGGAAGGAGUCACUUUUUAGAAUCUAAAUUUCUUCAUCUGUGAAAUGGGGAAAAAAGAAAAAACAACAAAACCACCUCACCGUGGGUAAGACUGAGCCCAUUAAAGAAGAGACUACNNNNNNNNNNNNNNNNNNNNNNUUGAUAUAUUUCUUAACUCAUCAUGUCCACAUAGCCCAAAAGAAUUCCAUCUGUAAGCUUUUCCACUGGUCGAUGCACAUUGAUAAAUGGAGACAAUGUUUGUAUUCCUAUUUGAAUCACUGGAUGGGGAGGAAAAUCACUUAAGAAUUAUUAUAGAAAGAUCAUUCCCUCAAUGAAGGUUGUGAUGUCUACAAAUAGACAAAGCUAGGCAAGGCCAGGAAUUUCAUCCACAAUCUCCUACCACCACAAAGCCAUGAAGCGUCUCUCUCCUUGGUGACAUCCUCUUCUCACUCCUCCUUUGAUCCGUCCAUUUCCAUCGUGGUGGUUAGUAUCCCAGUGCGGUGGCAAAAGAAAACAAGAGCUUUGCUUGGCUAACUGCUCCUCCACUGCGCAAGAAAGAGAGUGUAAAAUGCACCUCUACCCUGAGGUUUUCUGCUUAUGUUAAUGGAAAUUUGGUGAGUGAAGAGAUAGGGAGAGUUAGCCUGUUCACCUUUGACUCAGAUAAGCAACACAUAACCGAGGACUUGGACAGAGGGCAGUCCAGAGCACACUGGCGCAGAUGAAAGGCUGGGGAGAGGUUUGCUUUACACAACCUAGAGCAGCGUGCUUUGACUCAGGGGAACUAAGCCAAGCAGAGGUCUCUGGGCUGCCCACUUUGUUCCAGAAAGGUAAUAAUAGGCUCCUCUGGAAACAUAGAGAACACACACACUGCCACCAGGAGCACCUGCUGAAGAAAGGCAGCCAGGAGCACCAGUGACUAGAGGCUCCACUCAGAACUUGGUCUCAAAGAGCAGCCCUUCGGAACCAGCAGUGUGAACUGGCCCUUUUUUGCCAGGGGUAGGUCAGUCUUCCGGUAAU
RNAcentral lists this long non-coding RNA (1289 nucleotides) under Capra hircus (goat). RNAcentral's name for it is "lncRNA (ENSCHIG00010012164.1)". Lineage: Eukaryota; Metazoa; Chordata; Mammalia; Artiodactyla; Bovidae. The record is from RNAcentral.